This 435-nucleotide long non-coding RNA is filed under the name Mytilus galloprovincialis (Mediterranean mussel). The record is from RNAcentral. Lineage: Eukaryota; Metazoa; Mollusca; Bivalvia; Mytilida; Mytilidae.
AACCAUAUAUGGAACGAAUGAAACUAUGGCAAGUUGGAGCCUUGUCUACUAUAAUGUAAUCUGAAACUCAGUUUGGCUCUCACUAUAGCAAUUGGAUUAAGUUUAAAAACUUUAAACUUAGAACCAUACAAGAAGACUUAGAAAAUGAUCCGAAACAUCUGGAUGCACCAACAUAUCACACAUCUUCUUAUUUAUAUUUACACUUAUAAAAAAUGUACUACCCACACUGGUCUGUGUCCACACUUGUAAUAGUCUAAACAUAUAGGUUCAUCAUAUCUGAUGUUGACAACACGACAUGUUCAAUACCCGUCCACGUCCACUUGUACUUUUGUCCAUCUGAUGAGUUGAGCCUUUUUCAACUGAUUUUUAUAGUAAUGUUCGUUCUUAUGUUGUACUGUUAUACCACUGUCCCAGGUUAGGGAAGGAUUGGAAUCC